AAGCUCGUAGUUGAAUUUCGGGGUUAGUAGGUUGGUCAUGCCUCUGGUAUGUACUGGUCUCACUGAUUCCUCCUUCCUUAUGAACCGUAAUGCCAUUAAUUUGGUGUUGCGGGGAAUUUGGACUGUUACUUUGAAAAAAUAGAGUGUUUAAAGCAAGCUAACGCUUGAAUACACUAGCAUGGAAUAAUGAAAUAGGACGUUCGAUCUUAUUUUGUUGGUUUCUAGGAUUGACGUAAUGAUUAAUAGGGAUAGUUGGG
Molecule: ribosomal RNA, 257 nt
Filed under: uncultured Glomus
Lineage: Eukaryota; Fungi; Glomeromycota; Glomeromycetes; Glomerales; Glomeraceae
Description: partial 18S ribosomal RNA
Rfam family: Eukaryotic small subunit ribosomal RNA
Source: RNAcentral